Molecule: unclassified non-coding RNA, 199 nt
Filed under: soil metagenome
Description: partial contains 5.8S ribosomal RNA, internal transcribed spacer 2, and large subunit ribosomal RNA
Source: RNAcentral
AACGGUCUAUACCUGCGGUACCUGCGGAAGGAUCAUUAACGAUUUCGGUGUAAAAAACCGUUUUCUACCUAUGUCUACGCGUACCACUUGUUUCCUCGGGGGGCUUGCCCCCCGCUAGGACCCUUUAUCAAACCUUUUUGUAAUAGCAGUCAGCGUCUGAUACUACGUUAAUUAUUAAAACUUUCAACAAUGGAUCUCU